GGAUGGGAUGGGAUGGGAUGGGAUGGGAUGGGAUGGGAUGGGAUGGGAUGGGAUGGGCAGCGCUCCCCUGUUGCUGUGCUCCUGCUCCCAUCCUGGCGGAUGCUGGGGAGGCGGUGGCAGCUCGCUCCCAGCAAAACGGGAUCGAGCUCUCCAUGGAUCCCAGCAGGAAUGCUGCGACAGAGAAAGGGAAGGAUUUUGGCGGGGGAUGCAGGGUCAUUGGUCCAGCCCUGCCAACCCUUCCCUGCCCAUCUCUGCCCUCUCUCCCCUCUCACACAGAGCUCUGACCUUCCCGGAGCAGCUUCAGCCCCCGCUGCGGGGGGAGGAUGCGCUAUCCUGGAUUUCCCACCCCGGUUUUUAGGUUUUUUUGGGGUUUUUUUUUUGUUUUCCAGCAGUCAGAUUUGGCUGGGGGGAGGGAGGGGAGGGCCAGGCGAAGCGGCGGCUCGGCGUUAAUGGGUUCCUUGAGGAGAAGCCGAGGGUAGAGCAUCCAUCCCCGCAGCUCCAUGUCCUUCCUGUGCUGGGAACCCCAAAGCUGGAUGCAGGACUCAAGAAUCUCUUCUCCCAUUAGAUGUGGAUGCUUCAAGAGUGGGAUCCAAAUCUUUACACAGUCUUAAGCCUGGGUGAAUGAUUCAGCUUCAUUAUUUGUCCAUAAAAAAACAGGUAAUCUCCAACAAGGAGAAAAACCUGGGUGUGAGAGAUGGAAAAGGAUUAUGGCACAUGGCAGUGAAAUGUGUGGAGGAUGUGAGCUUCUGUGUUUUCAUGGAAAUCACAGCUCUGAUCCAGUCCUGGUGUGCAGCUCUGUCUCAGCACUGGGAAUUGCUUUUCCAACUUCGGGGAACUCCUCCAGGUACUCACCCCUUUCAAAUAUAGGGUGUGUGCUACUGCUUCCCAUGGUUUCUCCUCCAAAAUUCCACUACUGCACUAUGGCUGAGCCCCAGCUGUGAAUUUGGCAGCUCCAGACGUGCACAAUGAGCUUUCCUGGGUAGACAGACAUUCUCUGCCAAGAUCUGAGACUGCAAUUGCCAGCUGGAGGUGCUCCAUAGGACUUGUCGAUAAAAGGGAAGCGUGAGCCUCCAAAUCUGUUUGGAAGUCAGCCCCAGCAAGUCUGGCAGACACCACCACUGCCACUGCCUGAUGACACCCAGGAUUUCAGGACAAGAAAGAAGAGUUGAGCCUGUAAAACUCAAAAUUGGGUGAGAAUUUAGAGCAAGGCUCCCUUCAGGCACUGGAAGGCCACAAUUAGGUGAUCCCAAAACCUUUUUGAGGCAGAAUGAUCCCAAUUCUCUCAGCCUUUCCUCAUGGCAGAGCUGCUCCAUCCUCUGAUAAUCCUGGUGGCUCCUCUGGACUUGCUCCAGCAGCUCCAGGUCCUUCCUGUGCUGGGGACUCUUCCUUGUUGCCCUUUUCAGCAUCCCCUGAAGGUCAGUGUUCACUCACAGCCCCAAAGAAGGGUUUACAGGGAGAGAUGCCAGGUGAAUUUUCCUCACUGAAGCCUUCUGAGAGUUCAGACUCAUCCUCAAGUCGUUGCUGAAUUCCAAUGACAAAAGCCAAGAGGAAUUAAGGUACAAUGUCUGUGUGUAAGUGGAGGUUGGGAAUAUUUAACAAGUUUACAUUAAAUUCACACCUUUACUUUAAGAUGAGGUAAAAAGAGGAAUUUUCUUCAUUACCAGUUCCAGUUCAGCUGCAUCCUGAGCCAGGUCCCACUUUGUGAGCUGAUGAAACUCACAAAUAUGAAUACUAAACCCAGCUCAGAUCAUUUUCUACCACUUAUCCUUAUCCUGAGGACAGUGUGACAAAACUUUCCUGAGGACAACAUCAGCUCCUUUUACAAACAGGGAACAAUCUCAACUCCUGAAGAACAGGUUCAAGGUUUUUCGCUCAUUUGUGUUUUACUAGAAGGCUUUUUUAUUGUUUUGUUUACUGUGGGAAAACCAGCUGCUUCCCAGGGUGCUCUAAGGAAAAAUGCCAUGACAGGAACUUUCAUUCCUUGUUGUUUACCACUGUUCUGAGGUGUUCUGAAGAUGCCUGGCAAAGCUCUGGCACUGGAUUGGGAUGAAGAAAAACAGCACGGAAGGGAAAAACAACAUUCCAGCAAUGGCAGCCUUGUGAAAGGCUGGGUGUAAUGUCAGUGAUAGGGGAAAAAAUGCACAAAUUCUUUUGAAAGCAAGUAAGUUUGACUUAAAAUGCUGGGCUGGCAUAAUUGGGGAUUGAGUUUCUUCUCACUCAAGAUAUGGGGGAACAGCAGAACUUCCCAUCCAGAAUCAAUUCCCCAUCUAUUCCCUGCUCCCUUUUUUUGGUGGCUCAGUCAUUCCUGAGUGGAAGAUCACGCUGAGAUUUUCGUGGCCCAUUGAUGCUCUGAUUUCUGUGAGGCACAAGGGAAAGACAUCAUUGUAAAUUAUAUUAGUGGUGAUUUGUUCCCCUAAACUCACAGACCAGUGGCUAUUCCACAGUAAAAGUGGGAUUUUGUCCACAGCUAUGACAUCUCCUUUUCGACCAUCUCCUCUUGUCACUCUCAUGCAAUGGGAUUUUUCACACUUGUAGGAUUCAUUUCAUAAAAUCAUGGAAUGGUUUGGGUUGGAAGGGAACUGGAAGAUCAUAGAGUUCUACCCCCUGCCAUGAGUAGGGACAAUUUUCACUAUCCCAGGUUGCUCCAAGCCCUGUCCAACCUGGCCUUGGACACUUCCAGGGAUGGAGCAGCCACAGCUUCUCUGGGAAACCUGGGACAGGGCCUCACCACCCUCACAGGAAAGAAUUUCUUCCCAAUAUCCAAUACAAAUGUUCAAAUUGUCUGGACAUCCAAGGGUUUCCCUAGUCACAGGGUGACAUUUCUGCUUUCUCCCAACUGAGGCUGCAGUUGUACUUUAAUUUCUUUUUCUCAGCUGUAGCUAUGUAGUUAUGUUUAUUCAUGUCAAUUCUGAUUUUUUUUCUCUAUUUUCCUACUUUCUAUCUCUCCAUCCUUGGUUUCCUAAGCAAUAUAACUGGAAAAUAUCUCAUGAGAGAGUGAGUUUAUUGAUGGCAGACACUAAAUCCACGUGAGAAGGAAAUGCCACAACCUGAAUAACAGCCAAAAAAAAAAAAAAAGAACCAAACACAGAAUCACAUCCAAAAACCUGGAAAAUAAUUAUUUAAAAGGAUACAUCCAACAAAAUCUUCAAACAAACCACCCCUACCGUCCAACAAACAAGAGCAGUUAUCCAAACUGCAAUUCAUUAACAGAGAGAAGAGAUAAUAUUCGGAAGUUUCAUUCCUGGCAUCAGGAGGCUGGGCAGGAUGUAACCCCAGCCAAGAGAAUUAUGAGUUUUUAUGUGGAAAAAGACAGCAGGAGAUGAGGAAGCAGCUCCUCUGAUGGAUUUCCUGAUUGCCCAGAACCCCUCACAAUGUAAAGAUUGGUAUUUUUAUUGUUUUAAUGGUUCUCAUUUACAGAGCUGAUGGGAUAUUUCACGUCCAGCCCAGGUUUCUUUGGAUUCAUUCUGUUUUUCUUUUAACUUCAGUUUAUCUCUAAUCCCCACCAUCAAUACCAAUAUAUACAAGACCUCUUUCAACUACCUGGUCAAUGACAAAAAAAUGCUCAAUAAUGAACUUUAGGCAGCAUUAAGGAAUCUCAGUGAUUCUCCAGUGAAAUUCCUGUCUCCUGAAAUCUCAAGGUCAGUGACUGAAGGCUAAAUGACUCUUUAAGGGACGCUUUUCCAACCUGAUUUCUCCAGAAAAUGAAGGUUUUGCACAUGUGAGCAAAGAUAGGAAUUUCCAUUUGCUCAGUUGUCACCUGGAUAUCUCAUAGAGGCAAAAUUUCCAAAUUAUAUUGAUUUCUUCCACUGUAAAAGUUGUUUUUGAGUGAGCACCACCCUUAUUAGAGAGCAGUGACCAUCACAACCCUUUGUGUCUCUUCAAAACUGAACUAAAAAUCAUGGUAGUGGUGCUUAUUAACCAAAAUAAAAUUUAAAAACAGCUGGAACACUGCAAGGAAAAUUAAAAAUUACGAACAUUGUCCAUUUAUUUAUAUAUAUUUAAUCAAAGAUAGUCAGUAUGUCCAAGCAUUUACAAAUGAAGAAAAGAAGUCAGAAAGAGCAUAUGGGGGAAAGGAAGGUUUUUAUCCCUAUUUUAAUGAUAGGCAGCAAGGUUGCAGAACUGUUUUGUGAUUUUUUUUCCCAGGUUAUGCACUGACAGUCAAUGGAGGAAGAAGCAACUCUCCUGAAAUUUCCUAACAACCAAUGUAAAGCAGGAGAAAUUUUUUUUCAUUUCUGGAUUUCAUUUUCCAUUGCAAAUGGAUUUAUGUGAAUGAAUUACAGCUCCAGCCAACAUGUUCCCAUAAAACACCAAAACGUGGUUUGAUAUUUGGAAGAAAUAGGUACCUUUAGCAGCUUCUGAAACAGCAGAGAGAAGGGAAAAAAACCCCAAACUCUUUCUUUUCCCCUUUUUUCCAUUUCUGUAGAGGUCUGAGGUGAAGAGUCCAGGAACUUCAUGCUAAGAAGAAAAGAUCUUGGAGGUCUUUCCCAACCUAAACAAUUCCAUGAUUCUGUGAUUCUCUACCCCAGCAGAUCCCUUAGCUCAGCUGCCCAGUUUAUCCCUGUUAAUCCUAGUUUAUCCUGUUUCUUAGAGUUGAUAAUUUGCAGUAUGGAUAGUCUGUGGCUCUAAUAAAUAUUCCACCCAAAAGGCUCUGUCAGAUAAGCUCUUAUAAAAUUAAAAAUGCCAGUUAUGUAUUUUUUCAGCAUCAGCAUUGCAGUGGCAAUGCCGGAGCAGGUCUGGAAGAUGGAGUUUCCUCAGAGGGGAAGAAAAAAAAAUCAAAAUUAUGCUGCUUUGUUUUUUGAAUUUUAGAACUGGAACAGAAAACUGAAGGUGGAGACCUCAAGAAUCAGGAGGGGAAAGGCAGAACCUCCAGACUGUGUUUGUCAUCACCCCCAAACUCUUGUGAGGGAUUCCUUGUGUGUCAGGUGACUCAAACCAGCUUUAAAGAGAUGUAGAAUCCUAAAAUGGUUGGAAGAAACCUUAAAGAUCAUCCAGUUCCAAACCCCAGCCAUGGGCAGGGACACCUUCCACUGUCCCAGGUUGCUCCAAGCCCCAUCCAACCUGGCUUUGGACACUUCCAGGGAGCCAGGGGCAGCCACAGCUUCUCUGGGCAACCUGUGCCAGGGCCUCAGCACCCUUCCAGGGAGGAAUUUCUUCCCAAUAUCCAAUCUAACCUUCUCUCAGUGGGAAGCCUAACCCCUUUUUCCUGUCACUCCCAGCCCUUGGAGUGAUUUCAGAGUCUCACAGCUGUUUCUCAGGCACUCAAAGAUUCACAUCAUGGGGGCGUGUUACAAAAAUGUAGUGCACAAAACUAAAUUAUUAAUGAUGCAUUUAAUGCUAAACUCUCUCCUCAGCUUAACUAACUUGCCUGCUAAAUGCCUCUCUCUCUGGAUAAUGUUGAA
This is a long non-coding RNA of Passer domesticus (house sparrow), 5399 nucleotides long. RefSeq lists it as uncharacterized. NCBI's taxonomy places the organism in Eukaryota, Metazoa, Chordata, Aves, Passeriformes, Passeridae. The record is from RefSeq and is a predicted model, not a curated record. The transcript is spliced from 4 exons.